GACGAACGCUGGCGGCGUGCUUAACACAUGCAAGUCGAACGGAAAGGCCCUGCUUUUGUGGGGUGCUCGAGUGGCGAACGGGUGAGUAACACGUGAGUAACCUGCCCUUGACUUUGGGAUAACUUCAGGAAACUGGGGCUAAUACCGGAUAGGAGCUCCUGCGGCAUGGUGGGGGUUGGAAAGUUUCGGCGGUUGGGGAUGGACUCGCGGCUUAUCAGCUUGUUGGUGGGGUAGUGGCUUACCAAGGCUUUGACGGGUAGCCGGCCUGAGAGGGUGACCGGCCACAUUGGGACUGAGAUACGGCCCAGACUCCUACGGGAGGCAGCAGUGGGGAAUAUUGCACAAUGGGCGGAAGCCUGAUGCAGCAACGCCGCGUGCGGGAUGACGGCCUGCGGGUUGUAAACCGCUUUCGCCUGUGACGAAGCGUGAGUGACGGUAAUGGGUAAAGAAGCACCGGCUAACUACGUG
Molecule: ribosomal RNA, 468 nt
Filed under: uncultured bacterium
Lineage: Bacteria
Description: partial 16S ribosomal RNA
Rfam family: Bacterial small subunit ribosomal RNA
Source: RNAcentral